CUGAUUGCUUAUUGCACCACAUGUGUUUUUUAUUGAACAAAUUUCUUUGGUGGCGGGAGCAAUCCUACCGCCAGAGGUUAUAACUAAACCAAACUUUUUAUUUACAGUCAAACUUGAUUUAUUAUUACAAUAGUCAAAACUUUCAACAACGGAUCUCUUGGUUCUCGCAUCGAUGAAGAACGCAGCGAAAUGCGAUACGUAAUAUGAAUUGCAGAUAUUCGUGAAUCAUCGAAUCUUUGAACGCACAUUGCGCCCUUUGGUAUUCCAAAGGGCAUGCCUGUUUGAGCGUCAUUUCUCCCUCAAACCCCCGGGUUUGGUGUUGAGCAAUACGCUAGGUUUGUUUGAAAGAAUUUACGUGGAAACUUAUUUUAAGCGACUUAGGUUUAUCCAAAACGCUUAUUUUGCUAGUGGCCACCACAAUUUAUUUCAUAACUUUGACCUCAAAUCAGGUAGGACUACCCGCUGAACUUAAGCAUAUCAAAGCGGGAGGGGAAAAGGA
This 499-nucleotide unclassified non-coding RNA is filed under the name Candida tropicalis. Its description in RNAcentral is "ITS1". The stretch from base 138 to 291 matches the Rfam family "5.8S ribosomal RNA". The record is from RNAcentral. Lineage: Eukaryota; Fungi; Ascomycota; Pichiomycetes; Serinales; Debaryomycetaceae.